RNAcentral lists this ribosomal RNA (433 nucleotides) under uncultured bacterium. RNAcentral describes it as "partial 16S ribosomal RNA". It matches the Rfam family "Bacterial small subunit ribosomal RNA", at positions 29 to 507 of the family's 1533-position model. The record is from RNAcentral.
AGCGAACGCUGGCGGCAGGCCUAACACAUGCAAGUCGAACGGAUCCUUCGGGAUUAGUGGCGGACGGGUGAGUAACACGUGGGAACGUGCCCUUUGGUUCGGAACAACUCAGGGAAACUUGAGCUAAUACCGGAUGUGCCCUUCGGGGGAAAGAUUUAUCGCCCUUGGAGCGGCCCGCGUCGGAUUAGCUAGUUGGUGAGGUAACGGCCCACCAAGGCGACGAUCAGUAGCUGGUCUGAGAGGAUGAUCAGCCACACUGGGACUGAGACACGGCCCAGACUCCUACGGGAGGCAGCAGUGGGGAAUCUUGCGCAAUGGGCGAAAGCCUGACGCAGCCAUGCCGCGUGAAUGAUGAAGGUCUUAGGAUUGUAAAAUUCUUUCAGCGGGGACGAUAAUGACGGUACCCGCAGAAGAAGCUCCGGCUAACUUCGUG